RNAcentral lists this ribosomal RNA (491 nucleotides) under uncultured bacterium. Its description in RNAcentral is "bacterial SSU rRNA". It matches the Rfam family "Bacterial small subunit ribosomal RNA", at positions 29 to 506 of the family's 1533-position model. The record is from RNAcentral.
AUUGAACGCUGGCGGAAUGCUUUACACAUGCAAGUCGAGCGGCAGCGCGGGCGAGGGUAACCUUGUCUGGCGGCGAGCGGCGAACGGGUGAGUAAUGUAUCGGAACGUACCCCGUCGUGGGGGAUAACACAUCGAAAGGUGUGCUAAUACCGCAUACGACCUGAGGGUGAAAGCGGGGGAUCGCAAGACCUCGCGCGAUGGGAGCGGCCGAUAUCGGAUUAGCUAGUGGUGAGGUAAAGGCUCACCAAGGCGACGAUCCGUAGCGGGUCUGAGAGGACGACCCGCCACACUGGAACUGAGACACGGUCCAGACUCCUACGGGAGGCAGCAGUGGGGAAUUUGGACAAGUGGGGGCAACCCUGACGAAGCAACGCCGCGGUGGGGAUGAAGGUCUUCGGAUUGUAAACCCCUGUCGACUGGGACGAAUGUAGAACGGCCUAAUACGCCGAGCUAUUGACUGUACCGGUGGAGGAAGCCACGGCUAACUCUGU